RNAcentral lists this ribosomal RNA (375 nucleotides) under uncultured organism. RNAcentral describes it as "partial 16S ribosomal RNA". It matches the Rfam family "Bacterial small subunit ribosomal RNA", at positions 527 to 896 of the family's 1533-position model. The record is from RNAcentral.
GUAGGGUGCGAGCGUUAUCCGGAAUCAUUGGGCGUAAAGAGCUCGUAGGCGGUUCAGCAAGUCGGCUGUGAAAUUCCGAGGGCUCAACCUCGGAACUGCAGUCGAUACUGUUGUGACUCGAGUCCGGUAGAGGAGAAUGGAAUUCCCGGUGUAGCGGUGAAAUGCGCAGAUAUCGGGAGGAACACCAGUAGCGAAGGCGGUUCUCUGGGCCGGCACUGACGCUGAGGAGCGAAAGCGUGGGUAGCAAACAGGAUUAGAUACCCUGGUAGUCCACGCCGUAAACGUUGGAUACUAGGUGUGGCGUUCCGACCAACGGUCGCCGUGCCGAAGCUAACGCAUUAAGUAUCCCGCCUGGGGAGUACGGCCGCAAGGCUA